AGAGAUCCAGAACUAGAUUCUAUAACAAAAAUGGCUCUACGGAUGUCUUCUCCGAAAUUCUUGUUUAGAUCUUAAAACUUAUCCUUAGAAUGUUGCAAACUAUGGAUCAGACACAUGCAAACUAUUUUUAACGGAACAAAACUUCAUUAGGCCUACCGAUGAACAAUAAUGUUCCAGAUGACGCUCCAAGCCAAUUGGAUUCGCCUGAGCUUUUUGUUACGUCAUCAACCAGCCUCGUUAUAGCGGGCUACGACGUCCAUACCCUGAGCACUAUCUUAGCCCUGCUGGCCAUCGCCGCCAUCUAUCUCUACAACGUCAACCUGGUGGUGCUGGGCGCCAUGAUACUGGUCAUCGUAGUGAAGUGCUACAUCCAAAAGUACCUCCAACCAACACGGCACCUUAGUGACUUGCCGGACAUUCGAUGACAAGCGAUGGUCUUCGUGGUCCAGCGCUGUGUCCAGAGCUACCUUCAGCGCCCUUGCACCCCCCCCCCCACCCCAAUUCCCCUAAAUCAUGAAGAUGCCGCAGAAACCUAACGGUCAAUUGAUUUUAACUCUUAAUACGCAUGGUUGUGAAUAGGGUCAUUUGUUUCAUUCAGAUGUAGGCUACAUCUGGUCUCAGCAUGACCCAGUUACAUAGAAGCCGUACAACGACAUCACAAACACACACCCACACAUGUACACAAACACCCGGCUUUGGUGGAAUCGUGGUUGGAUAUCACAUCUUGUGUAUGUCUCGCACACACGCUUUGGCGCAGUACCCCAGAUAACGUUAGAUGGCCAACAAAUAAAGUCGAGGAUCGUUAGAAUGUUCCCGAAGAUUCCCAAUAAGGCGAAGACGAGGGAGGACCAAGUGUCGACUACAGAGGUGAAGGUCGUUAACACAUCGUCUGACACAAGAAUCUGAUCAAAGGUCGUCCUAACUGAAGUUACAUUUACCAAGUAAAGGCAUGUAUGGUAUUGCCUGGUACCGAGAUGCACAGAAGGACCUUUUUGGCACUAAGGCAGCAACGGCAGCAUGUCCAUGAUGUCUCAAGCAGCUUGUAGGCCACCCCCAGAGCGAAAUCUAACAAUGUUUUUGCUCUUAAAGAUCUUCGACACAUGAAACAUAUUUAAAAACAUCUGCUAAGUCAA
Molecule: long non-coding RNA, 1133 nt
Organism: Biomphalaria glabrata
Lineage: Eukaryota; Metazoa; Mollusca; Gastropoda; Planorbidae
Exons: 2
Source: RefSeq, a predicted model, not a curated record